AUCCUGAGGUAGUUGGUGGAAGGAUGGUCUAAACCGUUGGUUUUCGACCACUACGACCCGGGUUCGAUUCCCGCAUUGGACA
Cordylochernes scorpioides is the source of this 82-nucleotide non-coding RNA. Lineage: Eukaryota; Metazoa; Arthropoda; Arachnida; Pseudoscorpiones; Chernetidae. The record is from the annotation of a GenBank genome assembly.